RNAcentral lists this ribosomal RNA (1926 nucleotides) under Triticum aestivum (bread wheat). Its description in RNAcentral is "partial small subunit ribosomal RNA". Lineage: Eukaryota; Viridiplantae; Streptophyta; Magnoliopsida; Poales; Poaceae. The record is from RNAcentral.
AUGCCGCCGUCGUCGUCGUCCUCGGUCCAACGCGCGACCAGCGACGCGCUCAUCGGUCCCGACUGGGCGACCAACCUCGAGAUCUGCGACACCCUCAACCGCGAUCCAGGGCAUACAAAAGAUGUUGUCAAGUCGCUCAAGAAACGCAUUGCGCACAAGAACUCGAAGGUCCAGCUUCUCGCCCUCACGUUGCUGGAGACAAUGAUUAAAAAUUGCGGGGACAUUGUCCAUAUGCAUGUUGCUGAGAGAGACAUACUUCAUGAAAUGGUGAAGAUAGUAAAGAAAAGGCCUGAUUAUCACGUAAAAGAGAAGAUUCUCACGCUGAUCGACACUUGGCAAGAAUUUUUUGGCGGCGCACGUUCAAAAUAUCCGCAAUACUAUGCAUCAUACCAGGACCUUUUGCGUGCCGGAGCUGUAUUUCCUCAAAGAACAAAUGGAUCUGUGCCAAUAUUUACUCCUCCUCAGACUCAGCCUCUACAAAACUAUCCUCCUGCUCCACGUGAUGCUGACCACGAGGCUCCUGAAUCGUCAGCGCAGGAUUUUCCUGCCGCAAGCCUGGCAGAUAUUCAGAAUGCACGGGGUAUCGUGGACGUUCUUUCGGAGAUGUUGAAUGCUUUAGAUCCUAGUAAAAGACAGGAACUUCGUCAGGAGGUCAUCGUCGACCUUGUGGAUCAGUGCCGCACAUACAAGGAGAGAGUGGUGCAGCUUGUCAAUAGUACCUCGGAUGAGGGGUUGCUCAGCCAGGGUCUUUGUUUGAAUGAUGAUCUGCAGCGUGUUUUAGCAAAACACGACGCUAUUGCCGCAGGCAUAGAGGUUCCGGUGGAGAAGCAGAGAUCGCUCCAUUCCACGCCAGCAAAGCCAGAUACUACAAAAGAAGCAGUGCAGAGGUCUUCAGCAACUACUACAAGUGCAAGCAAGCAGUCACCCUUUGAACAAUUAGCACUUCCUGCACCUACAUCAUCUAGCAGUGCAAAAGCUGUUGUUGCAGCACCAGCUCCGAGUUUCGACCUCCUUAGUGGAGACGAAUACAUCAAACCUGAACCUGAAAAUUCGCUGGCGCUUGUUCCUGUCAGUGAAUACUCAGCUUCAGACCAAAAUGUAUUGGCACUUGCAGACAUGUUCCAGCAAAAUAGUGCUGCUGCCAACAAUAGAAACCAUAACCAGCUUACAAACUCUUUUAUUUCCCCUGCAUCUCGAGCAAACACUGCUCCAGUGCACCCUGUCCUGCCUCAGCAACCCACUACUUAUUCAAACGUGGACAUCGUACCUUACGGUCAACAAUCUCAACUGAACGCCACAAGGUCAUGGAAUGGGCAGCCUGCUUAUGGAGUGGAUUCUCAACGGCAAACACUAAAUUAUGGUGUAGAGGAUCGAAACGGCAGCCUUCCACCACCACCCUGGGAAAUUCAGUUGACGGGUAACCGACCCCAAGACAGCCAACUUGGUGCAAUGUCACUGCAUCCACAGCAACCUGCGGGGGUGCAACCCCAAUCAGCACAGAUUGGUCAAGGAUUCAUGUCAACACAACAAAUGCAGAGGCAGCAACCACCACCACGGUAUGUGCCGGACAUGCAGUACGGGGGCAUGUACCCUAACUCGAUGCAAAUGAACCAAGGAACGGGCAUGAACUCCCAACCGAUUGUCGGUGGACGGUUUUAUGGGAUGAACUAUCAACAGUCAUAUGCAGUUCAAAUGGCCGGUUAUGGGUAUGGGCAGCAAUCUGGGGGAUACUAUAUCCCGAACGCUGCAUACGCGUAUACCAGUGCAAAUGAACUUUCUCAGAGAAUGAAUGGAGCAACGCCAUCCGUUUCCCUGAAGCAGCAGAGCAAAGCAAGCAGACCAGAAAACUCGCUCUUUGGCGAUCUUCUUAGCAUGGCCAAAAUGAAGCAGAGCAAACCUGCAGCUGGUAAGGUCGGUGGCUUGUAA